This 318-nucleotide ribosomal RNA is filed under the name Triticum aestivum (bread wheat). RNAcentral's name for it is "partial small subunit ribosomal RNA". Lineage: Eukaryota; Viridiplantae; Streptophyta; Magnoliopsida; Poales; Poaceae. The record is from RNAcentral.
AUGUCAUAUGUAGAUCAACAUCACGAAGGAGGUGCCAGUGAACAUGUCACAAAGGAAUUGCCGGAAAUCAGCGACCAAGGGGGUGCUAUUGGGGGCGCAACACACAUUCCAGAUGUGCCUGAGAGCUCACACAUGCAAGCAAAUGUACAUGUGGGAGCAGAUGCGGGUUCUCAAAGCCCACCUCACACCGGUACAGGGGGUACCAAUGGUAGCGCAGAGCAUGUGCAUGAGCGCAUCCAUCUAACACGGAGAGUGGUGACGACGUGUGCGGCUCUUUGGAGGAGUGGCUCCAUGCAUUGCCAACAAUCGAGGAGUUAG